This is a non-coding RNA of Potamilus streckersoni, 75 nucleotides long. The record is from the annotation of a GenBank genome assembly. Lineage: Eukaryota; Metazoa; Mollusca; Bivalvia; Unionida; Unionidae.
CGCUCUGGUGGCCUAGUGGUUAGAGCGACCGCCUCGGAUGGAGGGAGGUCGUGAGUUCGAUCCCCGGUCGAGUCA